UACGAAGGGGGCUAGCGUUGUUCGGAAUUACUGGGCGUAAAGCGCACGUAGGCGGAUUUGUAAGUCAGGGGUGAAAUCCCGGGGCUCAACCCCGGAACUGCCUCUGAUACUGCCAGUCUAGAGGUCGAGAGAGGUGAGUGGAAUUCCGAGUGUAGAGGUGAAAUUCGUAGAUAUUCGGAGGAACACCAGUGGCGAAGGCGGCUCACUGGCUCGAUACUGACGCUGAGGUGCGAAAGCGUGGGGAGCAAACAGG
RNAcentral lists this ribosomal RNA (253 nucleotides) under uncultured bacterium. RNAcentral describes it as "partial 16S ribosomal RNA". It matches the Rfam family "Bacterial small subunit ribosomal RNA", at positions 524 to 776 of the family's 1533-position model. The record is from RNAcentral.